This 284-nucleotide unclassified non-coding RNA is filed under the name plant metagenome. RNAcentral describes it as "partial contains small subunit ribosomal RNA, internal transcribed spacer 1, and 5.8S ribosomal RNA". The stretch from base 1 to 53 matches the Rfam family "Eukaryotic small subunit ribosomal RNA", at positions 1778 to 1831 of the family's 1831-position model. The record is from RNAcentral.
GGAAGUAAAAGCGUAACAAGGUUUCCAUAGGUGAACCUGCGGAAGGAUCAUUAUUGUAUAACCGAGGUGCGAGGGCUGUCGCUGACCCGAAAGGUCGUGCACGCCCGAGUGCCCUCACACACAUCCAUCUCACCCCUAUGUGCACCACCGCGUGGGUCCCCCUUUGGCUUGUUCGGAGGGGGGCUUACGUUUUCACACAAACUUUGUAUGCAGUGUAGAAUGUAUUUUUUGUUUUUGCGAUCACGCAAUCAAUACAACUUUCAACAACGGAUCUCUUGGCUCUC